This 127-nucleotide small RNA is filed under the name Marmota monax (woodchuck). Lineage: Eukaryota; Metazoa; Chordata; Mammalia; Rodentia; Sciuridae. The record is from RNAcentral.
GCUGGGUGUCGUGGCAUACACCUGUAAUCUCAGCAGCUCAGGAGGCUGAGGCAGGAGGAUCUAGAGUUCAAACCCAGCCUCAGCAAUUCAGUGAGGCCCUAAGCAACUCCAUGAGACCCUGUCUCUA